This 253-nucleotide ribosomal RNA is filed under the name uncultured bacterium. RNAcentral's name for it is "partial 16S ribosomal RNA". It matches the Rfam family "Bacterial small subunit ribosomal RNA", at positions 524 to 776 of the family's 1533-position model. The record is from RNAcentral.
UACAGAGGUCUCAAGCGUUGUUCGGAUUCAUUGGGCGUAAAGGGUGCGUAGGUGGCGUGGUAAGUCGGGUGUGAAAUUUCGGAGCUUAACUCCGAAACUGCAUUCGAUACUGGCGUGCUUGAGGACUGGAGAGGAGACUGGAAUUCAUGGUGUAGCAGUGAAAUGCGUAGAUAUCAAGAGGAACACCUGCGGCGAAGGCGGGUUGCUGGGCCGACACUGACGCUGAUGCGCGAAAGCCAGGGGAGCGAACGGG